Molecule: small RNA, 28 nt
Filed under: Bombyx mori (domestic silkworm)
Lineage: Eukaryota; Metazoa; Arthropoda; Insecta; Lepidoptera; Bombycidae
Description: ovarian small RNA-31709
Source: RNAcentral
UGACGACGUUGCUAGCACGAACCCUAGC